Molecule: unclassified non-coding RNA, 80 nt
Organism: Myotis lucifugus (little brown bat)
Lineage: Eukaryota; Metazoa; Chordata; Mammalia; Chiroptera; Vespertilionidae
Rfam family: Y RNA
About the family: Y RNAs are components of the Ro ribonucleoprotein particle (Ro RNP), in association with Ro60 and La proteins.
Source: Ensembl
AGUUGGUCCGACGGUUGUGGGUUAUUGUUAAGCUGAUUAACAUUGUCUCCCUCCACACAACCACAUUUGACUGACUUCGU